CCCUACGGGGGGCAGCAGUGGGGGAUAUUGCACAAUGGGGGGAACCCUGAUGCAGCGACGCCGCGUGGGUGAAGAAGCGCCUCGGCGCGUAAAGCCCUGUCAGCAGGGAAGAAAGUGACGGUACCUGAAGAAGAAGCCCCGGCUAACUACGUGCCAGCAGCCGCGGUAAUACGUAGGGGGCAAGCGUUAUCCGGAUUUACUGGGUGUAAAGGGGGCGCAGACGGCGAUGCAAGCCAGGAGUGAAAGCCCGGGGCCCAACCCCGGGACUGCUCUUGGAACUGCGUGGCUGGAGUGCAGGUGGGGCG
RNAcentral lists this ribosomal RNA (305 nucleotides) under uncultured bacterium. RNAcentral describes it as "partial 16S ribosomal RNA". It matches the Rfam family "Bacterial small subunit ribosomal RNA", at positions 337 to 659 of the family's 1533-position model. The record is from RNAcentral.